Molecule: ribosomal RNA, 510 nt
Filed under: uncultured organism
Description: bacterial SSU rRNA
Rfam family: Bacterial small subunit ribosomal RNA
Source: RNAcentral
GACGAACGCUGGCGGCGUGCCUAACACAUGCAAGUCGAACGGAGGAUUUUAUGAAGUUUACUUGAUAAAAUCUUUAGUGGCGGACGGGUGAGUAACGCGUGGGUAACCUGCCCAUAAAACGGGGACAACUCUUGGAAACGAGAGCUAAUACCGGAUAAUCUUCCUUGGUGGCAUCACGAAGGAAGGAAAGAGGGCCUCUGAAGAUGCUCUUGAUUAUGGAGGGACCCGCGUCUGAUUAGCUAGUUGGGAGGGUAAAGGCCUACCAAGGCGAUGAUCAGUAGCCGGCCUGAGAGGGUGAACGGCCACACUGGGACUGAGACACGGCCCAGACUCCUACGGGAGGCAGCAGUGGGGAAUCUUCCGCAAUGGACGAAAGUCUGACGGAGCAACGCCGCGUGUAUGAAGAAGGUUUUCGGAUUGUAAAAUACUGUUCUUAGGGACGAAUGGUGAGGUCAGUAAGAAGGAGUUCACAUGACGGUACCUAAGGAGGAAGCCCCGGCUAACUACGUG